AUGGGUGCUGGGAUAAGUGGAGGAGGGCCACCGUGGGCCCACGAGGCAGGGGGGCGCGCCCACCACCCUCGUGGCCAGGUGGGAGCUCCUCCCGCGGGUGGCCUUCAGGAUACAAAGCAAAUAUAUAUAGUUGGAGUUGGCGUCGGAGGGCAUCCAGGAGGCCCACGAGGUAGGGGGCGCGCUCCCCACCCUCGUGAGAAGGAUGUGGGCCCCCUGAGCAAAGCAAGAGGCGACACGAAGAAAAAAGAGAAGCGGAGAUGCGGCAACGUCUGGGAAGGAACAAAGAGCUUGAAGUCGACUCCUCGAGUCGCCUCAAGCCUCGGGGCUAUCAAUUUUGUUUGA
This 342-nucleotide ribosomal RNA is filed under the name Triticum aestivum (bread wheat). RNAcentral's name for it is "partial small subunit ribosomal RNA". The record is from RNAcentral. Lineage: Eukaryota; Viridiplantae; Streptophyta; Magnoliopsida; Poales; Poaceae.